GAUGAACGCUGGCGGCGUGCCUAAUACAUGCAAGUCGAGCGAACGGACGAGAAGCUUGCUUUUCUGAUGUUAGCGGCGGACGGGUGAGUAACACGUGUAUAACCUACCUAUAAGACUGGGAUAACUUCGGGAAACCGGAGCUAAUACCGGAUAAUAUUUUGAACCGCAUGGUGCAAAAGUGAAAGACGGUCUUGCUGUCACUUAUAGAUGGAUCCGCGCUUCAUUGGCUAGUUGGUAAGGUAACGGCUUACCAAGGCAACGAUGCAUAGCCGACCUGAGGGGGUGAUCGGCCACACUGGAGCUGGGACACGGUCCAGACUCCUACGGGAGGCAGCAGUAGGGUAUCUUCCGCAAUGGGCGAAAGCCUGACGGAGCAACGCCGCGUGAGUGAUGAAGGUCUUCGGAUCGUAAAGCUCUGUUAUUAGGGAAGAACAUAUGUGUAAGUAACUGUGCACAUCGUGACGGUACCUAAUCAGAAAGCCACGGCUAACUACGUG
RNAcentral lists this ribosomal RNA (497 nucleotides) under uncultured bacterium. Its description in RNAcentral is "partial 16S ribosomal RNA". It matches the Rfam family "Bacterial small subunit ribosomal RNA", at positions 28 to 507 of the family's 1533-position model. The record is from RNAcentral.